CCUGAACGCUGGCGGCGUGGUUAAGACAUGCAAGUCGCACGGUGUAGCAAUACACAGUGGCGCACGGGUGAGUAAUGAAUCGCUAACGUACCCUGGACUCUGGGAUAGCUGCCCGAAAGGGCAGGUAAUACCAGAUAAUAUAACCGAACCGCAUGGUUUGGUUCUCGAAGGUCCGCCGGUCUGGGAGCGGGCGAUUUCGUAUCAGCUAGUUGGUGAGGUAACGGCNCACCAAGGCGACGACGCGUAGCCGGACUGAGAGGUCGGUCGGCCACAUCGGGACUGAGACACUGCCCGGACUCCGUACGGGG
This 308-nucleotide ribosomal RNA is filed under the name uncultured bacterium. Its description in RNAcentral is "bacterial SSU rRNA". It matches the Rfam family "Bacterial small subunit ribosomal RNA", at positions 30 to 346 of the family's 1533-position model. The record is from RNAcentral.